Molecule: ribosomal RNA, 524 nt
Filed under: Udeocoris nigroaeneus
Lineage: Eukaryota; Metazoa; Arthropoda; Insecta; Hemiptera; Rhyparochromidae
Description: partial 16S ribosomal RNA
Rfam family: Bacterial large subunit ribosomal RNA (bases 391-524)
Source: RNAcentral
CAUGUCUUAUGAUUGUUUAAUUUUAGGUUUGUUCUGCUCAAUGAUUAAUUUAAAUAGCUGCAGUAUAUUGACUGUACAAAGGUAGCAUAAUCAUUUGUCUUUUAAUUGGGGGCUUGUAUGAAUGAUUGGACGAGAUAUUAACUUUCUUUAUUUUAGUUUAUGAAUUUAAGUUUUUAGUUAAAAUGCUGAAAUGUUAUUGCGGGACGAGAAGACCCUAUAGAACUUUAUUUAUUAUUUUGGUUAUUUAUUUUAUGUUUAUUUAUUAUUUAAUUGGUUAAUAUUUUUGGUUGGGGUGAUUAUGAAAUUUUUUUAACUUUUUAUAUUUUAUAUUACAAUAAUUUUUGUUUUUAUGAUCCUUUAUUAUGGAUUAUUAGAUAAAGUUACCUUAGGGAUAACAGCGUAAUUUUUUUGGAGAGUUCAUAUCGAUAAAAUAAGUUUGCGACCUCGAUGUUGGAUUAAAGUAAUUUUUGGUGUAGGUGCUAAAAUUUUUGAGUCUGUUCGACUUUUAAUUUUUUACAUGAUCU